GAUGAACGCUGGCGGCGUGCCUAAUACAUGCAAGUCGAGCGAACGGACGAGAAGCUUGCUUUUCUGAUGUUAGCGGCGGACGGGUGAGUAACACGUGGAUAACCUACCUAUAAGACUGGGAUAACUUCGGGAAACCGGAGCUAAUACCGGAUAAUAUUUUGAACCGCAUGGUUCAUAAGUGAAAGACGGUCUUGCUGUCACUUAUAGAUGGAUCCGCGCUGCAUUAGCUAGUUGGUAAGGUAACGGCUUACCAAGGCAACGAUGCAUAGCCGACCUGAGAGCAUGAGCAGCCACACUGGGACUGAGACAGGGCCCAGACGCCGACGGGAGGCAGCAGGGGGGAAUAUUGGACAAUGGGCGAAAGCCUGAUACAGCAAUGCCGGGUGAGUGAUGAAGGCGUUAGGGUUGUAAAGCUCUUUUACCCGGGAUGAUAAUGACAGUACCGGGAGAAUAAGCUCCGGCUAACUCCGU
This 471-nucleotide ribosomal RNA is filed under the name uncultured bacterium. RNAcentral describes it as "partial 16S ribosomal RNA". It matches the Rfam family "Bacterial small subunit ribosomal RNA", at positions 28 to 506 of the family's 1533-position model. The record is from RNAcentral.